This 395-nucleotide ribosomal RNA is filed under the name uncultured bacterium. RNAcentral describes it as "partial 16S ribosomal RNA". It matches the Rfam family "Bacterial small subunit ribosomal RNA", at positions 338 to 730 of the family's 1533-position model. The record is from RNAcentral.
CCUACGGGUGGCAGCAGUGAGGAAUAUUGGUCAAUGGACGCGAGACUGAACCAGCCAAGCCGCGUGCAGGAUGACGGUACAGAGAGUUGUAAACUUCUUUUGUCCGAGGACAAACGCGGAGACGUGUACCCGGCUGAGAGUAUCUGACGAAAAAGCAUCGGCUAACUCCGUGCCAGCAGCCGCGGUAAUACGGAGGAUUCGAGCGUUAUCCGGAUUUAUUGGGUUUAAAGGGUGCGCAGGCGGUCGGGUAAGUUAGCGGUCAAAUCCCGGGGCUCAACUCCGGGCUCGCCUCUGAUACUGUCAGGCUCGAGUUGGAUAGAGGUAGGCGGAAUGUGCGGUGUAGCGGUGAAAUGCAUAGAGAUCGUACAGAACCCCGAUUGCGAAGGCAGCAUACC